Molecule: ribosomal RNA, 497 nt
Filed under: uncultured bacterium
Lineage: Bacteria
Description: partial 16S ribosomal RNA
Rfam family: Bacterial small subunit ribosomal RNA
Source: RNAcentral
GACGAACGCUGGCGGCGUGCCUAAUACAUGCAAGUUGAGCGCUGAAGGUUGGUACUUGUCCCAACUGGACGAGCAGCGAACGGGUGAGUAACGCGUGGGGAAUCUGCCUUUGAGCGGGGGACAACAUUUGGAAACGAAUGCUAAUACCGCAUAAAAACUUUAAACACAAGUUUUAAGUUUGAAAGAUGCAAUUGCAUCACUCAAAGAUGAUCCCGCGUUGUAUUAGCUAGUUGGUGAGGUAAAGGCUCACCAAGGCGAUGAUACAUAGCCGACCUGAGAGGGUGAUCGGCCCCAUUGGGACUGAGACACGGCCCAAACUCCUACGGGAGGCAGCAGUAGGGAAUCUUCGGCAAUGGACGAAAGUCUGACCGAGCAACGCCGCGUGAGUGAAGAAGGUUUUCGGAUCGUAAAACUCUGUUGGUAGAGAAGAACGUUGGUGAGAGUGGAAAGCUCAUCAAGUGACGGUAACUACCCAGAAAGGGACGGCUAACUACGUG